CUCGGCAUCCUACGCGCGAGGACAGGAGGAGGAGAAGAUAGACUAGAGGCGGAGGGGUUCUGGCUCUGCCGCCCUCCCUCCUGUGUGGGCUCACUUUGUGUCUGAAGUCGUGAUUGAUCACUGAGCUCCUUGAUGUUUUGACGUUCGGAACCUGUCGCAGCUCGUUUGUGAGCAAAAUUCUGGGCGGUUUUGCGACAUAAUCUGGUUACAAGACCAGCUAGUUAGCAUAACAAAGCUAACAAUCGGUAGCCACGGACCCGGCGAAGUGACGAGCAGAGCAGAGAAGGAUGGCUAGAGUUCAUUCCGGUGCUUCUGGACCAAACAACUUCUGACACGACCUAACGUUUUUCUUGUUACCAAGUCUUCGGUUGUUGGUGUUACUGAAGUCGUCACCAUGGUGCAGAAGUAUCAAUCCCCCGUGAGGGUGUACAAG
Non-coding RNA from Oryzias latipes (Japanese medaka), 433 nucleotides. The record is from RefSeq and is a predicted model, not a curated record. NCBI's taxonomy places the organism in Eukaryota, Metazoa, Chordata, Actinopteri, Beloniformes, Adrianichthyidae.